UGUGUGUGUGUGUGCGAGCGCGCAGCGAGGGGAAGGCAGGGAUCCAGCUGCUCUUUCUCCCUCUGCGAACACAUGUGGCAAAACAAGUUGUUGCGGGUUCUGUAUGUGUUUGUGUGUGCAGUCCUCGUUAUAAAUGGCUAUUUUGAAUAAAAACGCAUGCAGAAGAAUGUAGCKAAAUGCCAUUCAUCGCGAUGACAUAUUUGAGCGAAAAGCGGCCGGAUAUGUUGAGGUGGUUCAAAGCAACGGUCACAGCGUGUCUUUGUCRUUUGGGGCGGUGAGUGAUUGUAGGAGGGAGGGAAGGUUGCCACCUCUUUCCUUGAGGAGUCCAGAGACACAGAGGGGCAGAGCCGCGCCGCAUGGAGUCGGCGCUAGGGAGGGAGGGAAGGACUGCUCCCCUCUCCGGAGGRCUGCAGGGCUGCUCCUCCGGCGCCUCCUCCGGCCCUGGCACCGGCCCCKGCCGCUCUCCCUGCCUCGCCAGAACGCAAAAACCCUCCCCCGCCGAUGCCGGAGACACUCGGCUUUCUAUCUGCAGCAUCAGCGAGAAAGCCUCGCUCGGCGCAGGCUCAGUGUUCACCGCCGCAGUCCCGGACGGAGGAGGGGGGCUCGGGAGCGCAGCAUCUUCGCAGCGGGUUAAGUAGGAUUAGUACCAAAUCCCUAUUAUAUUUGCCAAGCAACUUGAAUUUAUCAAAAUUCCCCCUCGCUGUUCUGGAGCUCCGAGAGGAGGAAAUUUUGCUCACAGUGUAAGAUCCAGACAUGCCAGUACGUACGAAUACCAGCAUACUGCAUUACACUGGCUCCCUGCACUGSAAAUACAACGGCGAGCCGCUGCUCCCGCUGUUCCCUUCCUCCCCUUUGUGUUUUUAAACGCAGCCAGGAAACUUAAUAUAUUCGCCAGGGAAGGGGCGGGAUGGGAGUGUUUUUAACCUCCCCGCCAUAAACUUUAAUCGGAUUCCGGGCUGUUGCACGGCAUGGACGCUCGCUUCUUGCCCGCGUCUCCUUCCCCGUUGUUUCUACUACGGUCUGCUUUGCGAGAGCCUCUUUCAAGYGAAUGAGUGAUUUCUUUCUCUUGCCAUGUGCAAUUACUCCCCCUUCCCUUCCUACCCUCGCUGGCCUCUCUUACACACACUAUGCCUUUCACACGCGGUCUGCGSCCCCCAGUCCCCCCCUCCCUUUCUCUCUUUUUUGCAGUGUCUUCACAUGCAAUCUCCCUCUGAAUGUGCAAUGUCUUUCCUGCUCGGGAGUGCUGCGUCCUUCACAGUGGAUUGGUUCCUCUUUCGGAGCAGAGGACAGUAUAAAAGAUCUGGCAUGUCUUCAUGAUUGUACUGUGUCAGCUGCCUGUUGAGCAGAAGAUAAAAUACCCAAGCCAAGAUGGGAACUCUGAGAAGUUCUGAAGAAGAACCUUCAAUAUUAUAAUUCUGACACUGUUAUGGAUAAUUGAAUUCURUGCAUCUUUAUUCCUUUCUAAACUACAAUACUCUGUAUUAUGGGAUCUCUCUUCUGGGACAUAGCAGUGUGAGCCGGAAGCUGCCAUGUUUGAACACAGAGGGAUGAAAGUUUGAUCUGAAUAGAGAGAAAAGGAUGAAGAAAUCUUAUUGACUGUUCCAGUUCACAAUUUUCCAGCGUGCUUCUUAUGGCGAAAGAAACUGAUUUCAAAGGGAAGAAAGAAAGGAAGAAGAAAUGUCUCUGUCAAGCAUUGCUGGAAUGAGUGACUUGCUGUUCUAAACAUAAUGGAAAUGUUUCAAUUUGCUGAGCCAACGAUUUAAAUUGAGGUGAUYGACAGUGCUGUGAUCAUCCAUCUCCAAAGGCCUUCGGCUGCCUGAGGAAGGCUAAGACCCUGGUUAUUGCACAAGUGAUGUUCAGGCAUUGGGGCAAGCAGACAACAGAGAGAAGGAGGACAUGAGCUGAGACUGAUUGUCCUUUGGUCACCMUUCUCAAGAGGACUCAUUGCGAAGUUUCUGCACAGCAGAAAGGAUGAUUCUAYCUUCAAGGCACCAGCUAGCAAUUAACAUUUGCAAUAUCACAGUAUAACUUUAAUGGAGGUGUGAAAUCCUCCUCUGGACCCACCCCAGGAGCUCCACGUCUCUCUUGUACUGAGGAGCCCAGAACUGGACACAAUACUCCAGCAGCCUUACAGGUGCCAAGGCCCGAGGUUGGCUGAUUCUGUGUUUGGAAACAUAAGAGAUAAUGAUGAUUGUUUCAGAAAGGAAAUUAAGUACCUGCCUUAUACUGAAUAUACAGGUCCGUAUCUCUGCAACCUGUGAGUGAUUAUGACAAUUUACUGACAAAAAAGCAGAAUAUCACAGCAGGAACAYGGAGCAUAUAUUCUUGUUUCAGAUUUCUGCUGGCCUAGAAUAGAAGACUGAUAGACUGUUCCUCUGGGGAAAAGAGAAGAAAAGAGUAAUAACUAUUUUAAAAGAAGCUUAUAUGCCAAACAGUAUGUAACAUCUAGAGAAGUUGCCGAGUGGAAUUUUUGUGGAGAAGUGACUCUGAAYUUGAACUGUUACCAGGCACUGCUGACUACCUAUAGAUGAAGAAGACUAGUUUUUGACUUUAUCUCAUCCCCUAACAUAUGUUUUUUUUGGAACUGGGUAUUAGUAACUAAGACAUAUUUUUGUGGCAAUACCACUGAUGGAAAAUGAAUUCAUUGAGAAAAAUGUAAUACAUCAAAAAAUGACACCUUUCAUACUCAUCCACAAAUUCAAAGGUUUGACUAUACAUUCUACUGUUGUUUAAGUCCUUCACGGUAUUUAGCAUGAGUGGUUAUAAGAAAAGGGAUAUCUUCCCUGUCUAUUAAUUACAUAGGUGUCCAAAGGCAGAAUAUUUUAGCUAUUUCAUAUUUUCUUCAGUAUUUAAAUAAAAUCCAGAAAGAGUUUCAAAUAAAUUCUGAGKUUUUUCUCAGUCAAAAUUCCUUUGUUUGGAGAUGUUAUAAUAUAUCAAAGACUUUCUGAUAUUUGAAUUUUCUGUCAAAAUUUCCUAGCCAUAAUAAGAUAUUCAUUUCUCCUACGGUAAUUCUCAGUUGCAUCACAAGUUGAAUCAUUCUUGCAAAUUUGUGRUACCCAAAAUUCAAAUAAAGCCUGGAUGAAGUUGUCCCCCUYUAAUUAGUAAAACAGAAAAUUAAURAAAAUKAAUAUCAAACUGUCUGUGGAGUCUGUGAGAAUCUAUGGGAAAUAAGAYAUCUGAGAACAGAGGUUCUUCAGUCUAGUAAACACAUGCACUAUAUACUUGUGAAUUUGUAUUUGUAUGCAUUUUAUUUUGUCUGUAAAGGACAAGACUGAUGUAAUUAAUUUUUUUUCUGUUUUUGGAGGAUUGUAAAUCUAUGUCUGUUGUUUUAGAAGUAAACACAUUGUUCUGUUUUGUAUUGAUUUUAGACAUAUUU
Malurus melanocephalus (red-backed fairy wren) is the source of this 3376-nucleotide long non-coding RNA. RefSeq lists it as uncharacterized. Lineage: Eukaryota; Metazoa; Chordata; Aves; Passeriformes; Maluridae. The record is from RefSeq and is a predicted model, not a curated record. The transcript has 11 exons.